UCUUAGCACAGAUAGAAACGAAAAGUCCACGCUGUAAAACACUAAUUUUUCUUGUUAUAAAAGAGCGACCAACGGAAGCUCCUUUUAUGACUUAGAAAAAUGGUGUUUUACAGCGUGGACUUGUAGUGGAUAGCUGGAUUAGCU
Molecule: small RNA, 144 nt
Filed under: Flavobacterium sp. 103
Lineage: Bacteria; Pseudomonadati; Bacteroidota; Flavobacteriia; Flavobacteriales; Flavobacteriaceae
Description: Flavo-1 RNA
Rfam family: Flavo-1 RNA
Source: RNAcentral